This 590-nucleotide ribosomal RNA is filed under the name uncultured fungus. RNAcentral describes it as "eukaryotic LSU rRNA". It matches the Rfam family "Eukaryotic large subunit ribosomal RNA", at positions 1 to 595 of the family's 3401-position model. Lineage: Eukaryota; Fungi. The record is from RNAcentral.
UUGACCCAGAUCAGGUAGGGCUACCGCCUGAACUUAAGCAUAUCAAUAAGGCGAGGAACAGAAACCAACAGGGAUUCCCCUAGUAGUGGCGAAUGAAGCGGGAAAAGCUCAAGUUUGAAAUCUGGGGCUUGCUCCAGAGUUGUAAGCUGAAGAGGCGUCGACCGACGCGGCCCGGGCUCAAUUUCCUUGGAACAGGAGGUCAUGGAGGGUGAGAACCCCGUCUGUGGCUUGGGUACCGUCGUCCUUGUGUCGUGUCCUCGAAGAGUCGGGUUGUUUGGGAAUGCAGCUCAAAAUGGGUGGUAAAUUUCAUCUAAGGCUAAAUAUUGGUGAGAGACCGAUAGCAAACAAGUAGAGUGAUCGAAAGAUGAAAAGUACUUUGAAAAGAGAGUGAAACAGUACGUGAAAUUGUUGAAAGGGAAGCGUUUGGCAUCAGCCCAUGGCCUCCGUCGAUCAUCCGGGCUUCUGUCCGGUGCACUUGUCGGGGGUCGGGCCAGCGUCGGCUUUGCCCGCCGGAGAAAGGCCUUGGGAAUGUGGCUCCCUCGGGAGUGUUAUAGCCCUCGGUGUCAUGCGGCGUGGUGGGGCCGAGGUCC